This 645-nucleotide ribosomal RNA is filed under the name uncultured archaeon. Its description in RNAcentral is "bacterial SSU rRNA". It matches the Rfam family "Archaeal small subunit ribosomal RNA", at positions 35 to 681 of the family's 1478-position model. The record is from RNAcentral.
GGAGUCCGAUUUAGCCAUGCUAGUCGCACGAACUUAGAUUCGUGGCAUAUAGCUCAGUAACACGUGGCCAAACUACCCUACAGACCGCGAUAACCUCGGGAAACUGAGGCCAAUAGCGGAUACAGCUUUCAUGCUGGAGUGCAGAGAGCUGGAAACGUUCCGGCGCUGUAGGAUGUGGCUGCGGCCGAUUAGGUAGAUGGUGGGGUAACGGCCCACCAUGCCGAUAAUCGGUACAGGUUGUGAGAGCAAGAGCCUGGAGACGGUAUCUGAGACAAGAUACCGGGCCCUACGGGGCGCAGCAGGCGCGAAACCUUUACACUGCACGACAGUGCGAUAGGGGGACUCCGAGUGUGAGGGCAUAUAGCCCUCGCUUUUCUGUACCGUAAGGUGGUACAAGAAUAAGGACUGGGCAAGACCGGUGCCAGCCGCCGCGGUAAUACCGGCAGUCCAAGUGAUGGCCGAUAUUAUUGGGCCUAAAGCGUCCGUAGCUUGCUGUGUAAGUCCAUUGGGAAAUCGACCAGCUCAACUGGUCGGCGUCCGGUGGAAACUACACAGCUUGGGGCCGAGAGACUCAACGGGUACGUCCGGGGUAGGAGUGAAAUCCUGUAAUCCUGGACGGACCACCAAUGGGGAAACCACGUUGAG